AAUUUUUUACAAUGGGCGCAAGCCUGAUCCAGCCAUGCCGCGUGAGUGAAGAAGGCCUUCGGGUUGUACAGCUCUUUCGGACGGAAAGAAAUCGCGCAGGCUAAUACCCUGCGCGGAUGACUGUACCGUCAUAAGAAGCACCGGCUAACUACGUGCCAGCAGCCGCGGUAAUACGUAGGGCGCGAGCGGUAAUCGGAAUUACUGGGCGUAAAGCGUGGCGAAGCGGUUGAAUAAGGAAGGCGUUGAAACCCCGGGCUUAAACUGGGAACUGCGCUUGUGACUGGUCAGAUAGAGUACGGCAGAGGGGGGUGGAAUUCCACGUGUAGCAGUGAAAUGCGUAGAGAUGUGGAGGAACACCGAUGGCGAAGGCAGCCCCCUGGGCCGAUACUGACGCUCAUGCACGAAAGCGUGGGUAGCAAACAGG
This 424-nucleotide ribosomal RNA is filed under the name uncultured bacterium. RNAcentral's name for it is "partial 16S ribosomal RNA". It matches the Rfam family "Bacterial small subunit ribosomal RNA", at positions 360 to 776 of the family's 1533-position model. The record is from RNAcentral.